This 301-nucleotide ribosomal RNA is filed under the name uncultured bacterium. RNAcentral's name for it is "partial 16S ribosomal RNA". It matches the Rfam family "Bacterial small subunit ribosomal RNA", at positions 509 to 807 of the family's 1533-position model. The record is from RNAcentral.
CAGUCGCCGCGGUAAUACGUAGGUGGCAAGCGUUGUCCGGAAUUAUUGGGCGUAAAGGGCUCGCAGGCGGUUUCUUAAGUCUGAUGUGAAAGCCCCCGGCUCAACCGGGGAGGGUCAUUGGAAACUGGGAAACUUGAGUGCAGAAGAGGAGAGUAGAAUUCCACGUGUAGCGGUGAAAUGCGUAGAGAUGUGGAGGAACACCAGUGGCGAAGGCGACUCUCUGGUCUGUAACUGACGCUGAGGAGCGAAAGCGUGGGGAGCGGACAGGAUUAGAUACCCGCGUAGUCCCUGUCUCUUAUAC